UGGGGAAUAUUGCACAAUGGGGGAAACCCUGAUGCAGCGACGCCGCGUGAGCGAAGAAGGCUUUCGAGUCGUAAAGCUCUGUCCUAUGAGAAGAUAAUGACGGUAUCAUAGGAGGAAGCCCUGGCUAAAUACGUGCCAGCAGCCGCGGUAAUACGUAUGGGGCGAGCGUUGUCCGGAAUUAUUGGGCGUAAAGGGUACGUAGGCGGAUAAGCAAGUUAGAAGUGAAAUCCUAUAGCUCAACUAUAGUAAGCUUUUAAAACUGCUCAUCUUGAGGUAUGGAAGGGAAAGUGGAAUUCCUAGUGUAGCGGUGAAAUGCGCAGAUAUUAGGAGGAAUACCGGUGGCGAAGGCGACUUUCUGGCCAUAAACUGACGCUAAGGUACGAAAGCGUGGGUAGCAAACAGG
RNAcentral lists this ribosomal RNA (403 nucleotides) under Verrucomicrobiota bacterium. RNAcentral describes it as "Verrucomicrobia bacterium partial 16S ribosomal RNA". It matches the Rfam family "Bacterial small subunit ribosomal RNA", at positions 355 to 776 of the family's 1533-position model. The record is from RNAcentral. Lineage: Bacteria; Pseudomonadati; Verrucomicrobiota.